This 490-nucleotide ribosomal RNA is filed under the name uncultured bacterium. RNAcentral describes it as "partial 16S ribosomal RNA". It matches the Rfam family "Bacterial small subunit ribosomal RNA", at positions 30 to 507 of the family's 1533-position model. The record is from RNAcentral.
AUUGAACGCUGGCGGCAUGCUUUACACAUGCAAGUCGGACGGCAGCACAGAGACUUUUGCUUCUUGGGUGGCGAGUGGCGCACGGGUGAGUAAUAUAUCUGCACGUCCUGAGUAAUGGGGGAUAACUCAUCGAAACAUUAGCUAAUACCGCAUAUUCUCUUAGGCGUAAAGCAGGGGACUUUCGGGCUUUGCGUUAUUCGCGCGGCCGUUCUCGGAUUAGCUAGUUGGUGGGGUAAAGGCCUACCAAGGCGACGAUCAGUAGCGGAUCUGAGAGGUUGAUGGGCCACACUGGAAGUGAGACACGGCCCAGACUCCUAAGGGAGGCAGCAGUGGGGAAUGUUAGGCAAUGGGCGCAAGACUGAUCCAGCCAUGCCGCGUGUGUGAAGAAGGCCUUCGGGUUGUAAAGGACGUUUGUGAGGGAAGAAAAGGUUGGUGCGGAUACCGACAGCUGGUGACGGUACCUGAAGAAUAAGCACCGGCUAACUACGUG